GAGUUUGAUCAUGGCUCAGGAUGAACGCUGGCGGCGUGCUUAACACAUGCAAGUCGAACGAACCUUCGGGUUAGUGGCGGACGGGUGAGUAACGCGUGAGAAUCUGCCCUCAGGAGGGGGAUAACGGUUGGAAACGACCGCUAAUACCCCAUAUGCCUACUGGUGAAAUGAAUUUCGCCUGAGGAUGAGCUCGCGUCUGAUUAGCUAGUUGGUGAGGUAAUGGCUCACCAAGGCUUCGAUCAGUAGCUGGUCUGAGAGGAUGAUCAGCCACACUGGGACUGAGACACGGCCCAGACUCCUACGGGAGGCAGCAGUGGGGAAUUUUCCGCAAUGGGCGAAAGCCUGACGGAGCAACGCCGCGUGAGGGACGAAGGCCUCUGGGCUGUAAACCUCUUUUCUCAAGGAAGAAGAUAUGACGGUACUUGAGGAAUAAGCCACGGCUAAUUCCGUGCCAGCAGCCGCGGUAAUACGGGAGUGGCAAGCGUUAUCCGGAAUUAUUGGGCGUAAAGCGUCCGCAGGCGGCUUUUCAAGUCUGCUGUUAAAGCGUGGAGCUUAACUCCAUCAUGGCAGUGGAAACUGAAAGGCUUGAGUAUGGUAGGGGCAGAGGGAAUUCCCGGUGUAGCGGUGAAAUGCGUAGAUAUCGGGAAGAACACCAGUGGCGAAGGCGCUCUUGCUGGGCCAUUACUGACGCUCAUGGACGGAAAGCCAGGGGAGCGAAAGGGAUUAGAUACCCCCUGUAGUCCUGGCCGUAAACGAUGAACACUAGGUGUCGGGGGAAUCGACCCCUUCGGUGUCGUAGCUAACGCGUUAAGUGUUCCGCCUGGGGAGUACGCACGCAAGUGUGAAACUCAAAGGAAUUGACGGGGGCCCGCACAAGCGGUGGAGUAUGUGGUUUAAUUCGAUGCAACGCGAAGAGCCUUACCAGGGUUUGACAUCCUGCGAACCUCUUAGAAAUUUGAGGGUGCCUUCGGGAAUGCAGUGACGGGUGGUGCAUGGCUGUCGUCAGCUCGUGUCGUGAGAUGUUGGGUUAAGUCCCGCAACGAGCGCAACCCACGUUUUUAGUUGCCAGCAUUUAGUUGGGCACUCUAGAAAGACCGCCGGUGAUAAACCGGAGGAAGGUGUGGAUGACGUCAAGUCAUCAUGCCCCUUACACCCUGGGCUACACACGUACUACAAUGCUACGGACAAAGGGCAGCAAACUCGCGAGAGCUAGCAAAUCCCAUAAACCGUGGCUCAGUUCAGAUCGUAGGCUGCAACUCGCCUACGUGAAGUAGGAAUCGCUAGUAAUCGCAGGUCAGCAUACUGCGGUGAAUACGU
RNAcentral lists this ribosomal RNA (1317 nucleotides) under unidentified marine bacterioplankton. RNAcentral describes it as "bacterial SSU rRNA". It matches the Rfam family "Bacterial small subunit ribosomal RNA", at positions 9 to 1371 of the family's 1533-position model. The record is from RNAcentral.